GUGCCAGCCGCCGCGGUAAUACGUAGGUCCCGAGCGUUAUCCGGAUUUAUUGGGCGUAAAGCGAGCGCAGGCCGGUUAGAUAAGUCUGAAGUUAAAGGCUGUGGCUUAACCAUAGUACGCUUUGGAAACUGUUUAACUUGAGUGCAGAAGGGGAGAGUGGAAUUCCAUGUGUAGCGGUGAAACGCGUAGAUAUAUGGAGGAACACCGGUGGCGAAAGCGGCUCUCUGGUCUGUAACUGACGCUGAGGCUCGAAAGCGUGGGGAGCAAACAGGAUUAG
Molecule: ribosomal RNA, 277 nt
Filed under: uncultured Streptococcaceae bacterium
Lineage: Bacteria; Bacillati; Bacillota; Bacilli; Lactobacillales; Streptococcaceae
Description: partial 16S ribosomal RNA
Rfam family: Bacterial small subunit ribosomal RNA
Source: RNAcentral